Molecule: ribosomal RNA, 474 nt
Filed under: Centipeda infelix
Lineage: Bacteria; Bacillati; Bacillota; Negativicutes; Selenomonadales; Selenomonadaceae
Description: bacterial SSU rRNA
Rfam family: Bacterial small subunit ribosomal RNA
Source: RNAcentral
GACGAACGCUGGCGGCGUGCUUAACACAUGCAAGUCGAACGGAGCGAAUGAAAGCUUGCUUUUAUGAGCUUAGUGGCAAACGGGUGAGUAACACGUAGACAACCUGCCGACAGGAUGGGGACAACAUUCCGAAAGGAAUGCUAAUACCGAAUGAAGCGGAGGAGAGGCAUCUCUCUUCCGUGAAAGAUGGCCUCUAUUUAUAAGCUAUCACCUGUCGAUGGGUCUGCGUCUGAUUAGCUGGUUGGUGAGGUAACGGCUCACCAAGGCGACGAUCAGUAGCCGGUCUGAGAGGAUGAACGGCCACAUUGGGACUGAGACACGGCCCAGACUCCUACGGGAGGCAGCAGUGGGGAAUCUUCCGCAAUGGGCGCAAGCCUGACGGAGCAACGCCGCGUGAGUGAAGAAGGUCUUCGGGUCGUAAAGCUCUGUUGACGGGGACGAACGUACGGAGUGCGAAUAGUGCUCUGUAAUGAC